This 19995-nucleotide long non-coding RNA is filed under the name Phoenix dactylifera (date palm). RNAcentral describes it as "long non-coding RNA (PDAC_LNC001149)". The record is from RNAcentral. Lineage: Eukaryota; Viridiplantae; Streptophyta; Magnoliopsida; Arecales; Arecaceae.
CCUCCACUCCACCUAAAUUACAGUCAAAACUAUGUGCAGGCCAUGAAGUGCAAGCCUACUUAGCUGCACGAAAUCUAACACAUACCCUAAAAUUAAUGCAAUUACAUUAACAAGAGUUACUUUCAAAGUCGCCUUUUUGUGAAAAUACCGAUCCCAAAAUAUAAACGUAAAUGGCACCAUCUCAUUAGAUUCUCAAGCAACAUCUGUUGUGAGCUGAAAUAUCAACACUGUUGAGAAAUUAACCAUAACAAAAAAGUAACACCAUUGAAUUAUUCAAGGCAUGUCUUUGUAAAAGCCAUUUUGAUCAAAGAGGAGAAUGCAAGAAGAAUUAUGGGGAUUAUAAUGUUUGCUUCAUCAAUAAAAAUGUAAAACGACAAACCACUUCUUUGUCCAAAGUGAUUUCACCCAGAUGUCAAGGCUUAGCUCACCUUUCAGCUUUAGAACCACACAAGUAGAAAAUGCCCUUAUGAUCAAGUACUUUAUUGGCUUUUUAUCAACAUGAUUCAACAAUGAUGAUUGCUCAGAUUCUGCUUUGCCAUAAAUCCCUCCUGAAGACCCACAACUAAGUAACCUAACAGAAACAUAUUGAUGUCAACUCAAUCUCCAAAUUUUGCAUAAUUCAACUUCAAACCACAUUAAAGUAAAUGCACUCUCCGUACUAAAUCCCUUUUGUUGUAGUUCAUUGUGCAAAUAAUUCAAAGUUGUUGCCUUCCAAAAGGGUGUCCUUAUUCUGACUUCCUGAACUCUAGUUCUGCAACCAUUAAAAGAAAAUGACAAACAUUUAUAGUUCCCGUUACCAUACUCUCCUGAUUCUUUUUGGUAAACUAAAAACCCUAAAGUUGCAAAAAUCUCCAACAAAAUGUUCCUGAUUUCAGGCUUCUAAAUUAACCAACAAAGCAUCAAACACUUUGGCUUGUGUUUUGUUCUCAUCAUCUUUCUCAAACUAGGGAUGGCUACUUUUUUGAUGUAUUUCUCCAAUAUUACUCCUUGAGAGAAAUCAACUAAUUAUUCUUGAGAUAAUCAAAGUAAAUGAAAUAUAGCACAUGUACAGGUCAACUUGAUCUGAAAAACCAGAAUUGCCUUUGGAAUUAUUGCCUAUGUUAAUGUAACCUCAUCUUGUAACACAAUCCCCAUCCAGAUGUGAGACUUACUCUUUUAUUCAUAGCUUUAAGCAAAUGACAUUCCCUUCCAACUCUUCUCCCUAUCAGUAGGUUGAGAACUCCUAACCAAAUCUACAACUUAAAACAAAGGAAAGACCACAAUAAUAUCGUUCCUAAUGACUCCACUGCUCGGAAACCAGAAUAUAAGAUAGCCUCUUCUCCCCCCAAGAGGUCCCAACCCAUAAACCACCCAUGAACUCAACUUCAAAGACCGCAAGAUGAUAAAUUAUACAAAUUACAAGGAAAACGUAAUUUUGAGAAAAUUAAGAAAAAAAACUUUCGAUUUAGGGGGCUAACCGAGCUGAUGUAGUCGACCAACGCCGCGUUGGCUUCCCCGUCCCUCGCCGGAGCGUCGAUCUGCACGCCCAGCGCCUCGUCGCCGAAAUCUGAGGCCGACGGACGGAAGGAAAACUAGGGUUUUAAUGCGACAAAAUAGCAAUAGGUGAUCAAAAGGAGGGGGGUUGAGGAGAGGGAGCGAACCUGUGAUCGUGGCGACCUUAGAGCCCGGUUUGGCGUGGACGGUUAUGGCGACGGAGGAGGUGGGUAGGAGGCGGAGGCAGGCGGGAAUUCCUGCCGGCGCUGCCGGGGCGAUGGAGGCCGGAGCGGCGGAGUCGCCUUUCGCUUUGCCUCGUUUGGACGGUGCCAUUCUCUUGAACAUAGGUACCGCACCACCACCGUGGAGUACUAGUUCCCAAUAAACACGGCAUAUGAUAUGCCGUCUUCUGCGAGAGAGAUACGGCCGUCACGCCCCACCGUGAAGCUGAUUCCUGACUCAAACUUGAGCCGACCCUAAACUGGACCGGACAGAGAACAAAUGGAUCGGAAUCAAAGUCAGGCUUACUGAACUUUGAGAUUGGGUUUGGAAUUGAGAUUUAUAUAUACACACACACACACACAUACAUACAUAUAUAUAUAUAUAUAUAUAUAUAUAUAUACUAUANNNNNNNNNNNNNNNNNNNNAGUAGUAGUUAUUAUAUACACACACACACACACAUACAUACUAUAUAUAUAUAUAUAUAUAUAUAUAUAUAUACUAUAAGUGCUUUAUAUAUAUAUUCUUCUAAAUAUACAAAAUUGUAUGAUUAUUCUUAUAAAGUUGUUAUUUGUAUGUAUACUUACAUAAAUACUUGUUUUGCAUGUAUACUUUUUUUUAUUUCUUUUUUUAUAUGUGUAUCUAUACCAUCUAAUGCCGUUAAAAAAAUAAGUAGUUUAAAAUUAAAAUGAUUGAAAUACUUUUAAUGAGUAGACAUACAAAAAAUAUAUAUGUAUAAAGAUAUCUAUGCAAAUAGCAACUUUGCGAGAGUAAUUAUCCAAUUUCGCAUAUUUAAGAUAAAAGCUUAGUUAGAUUUGCCAAGUCUUUUAUAAUCCAAUUAUAUCGCAGUGGAAUGAAAUAAAGGCUGGUUUGGGUUGUAUCUUUUGCAUGAAAAAAUGAUUAAUAUUUUUUCACAAUAUCGACUAUUGGAUUGCACAUUACAAAUCUCAAGGCACUCCGAACUCUCUCAUUCAUUUGUCUGCGCAAAUCUCGAAGUGACCAUUGUGCAAUCUAAUAGUGGAUUCAUGCAAAAGGAGGGAAAUCAUUCUUUCGCGCAAAAGAUACAACUCUUGUUCAUGAUGACCAAGGUCAUAAGUGAAGCUAGAGGCCAUCCUCUUCCUCCCCUCUUUAUAAUAACUUUUCCUGCCCGUUGUAGCAAUGGCGAAUAGCUUCUAGGCCAGCCAACCGCCUCUCUACCCAUCCCCUCUAGUUCUCAAGCAACCGCACCUCACUUUCGGUACUUCCCCAAUUGUCAAAACCCAAGCCUUAGUUCCCUAAUUCCAUGUGGUUUCUUCAUGAAUUUUUUAAAAUACCAUCCCCCAUUUAAAGUUCUUGUAUUUAGUGACCAAAAUGGGAUUACCAAAGUAAUCUUUGAUCAUUGGUAACCCAUAUCCUGAGGUGAUUUGAUCCUCGAUGAUCUUUGAUUAUUGCAUUUGGUAUGCUAUAUUCUAGUGAUCGAAGAUCUCUAAGUAUCCAUGAGUAACAUAUUUGGUAUUAUAUAAAAACCCAAGAUUAUUAACCAUAUAGUACAAAAAUUACAUCUGAUGUCUUCCAUAAAAUAUAAUUUUUAAUCAAAUAAUAUAUAUAUAUUAUUAAUAUAUUCUAUAAAAAAUAUAUUUAUUAAUUCUAUAAAAAUAUAUUAAUUGUUAUUAUAGAAUUAAUAUUUUUGUUUAUGGUUAUAAUAUAUUAUUAUUUUAAUACUACUAUUUAUUUUGAUUGGAAAAAUAAGGCAAGUGGAAGUAAUCUAUUAAAUAAUUUCAAAAUUUGAAGAUAGUAUAAAUACAAAAAUUGCUAUCUAUGACAGUAUAUGAUUAGUAAUAUAUUAUAGUAUAAUAUAUAUUAUAAAUACAAUAUAUGUAAUAUCAACAUAAUAUAAUAUAAUAUAAUAUAAUAUAAUAUAAUAUAUUGAUAUAAUAUGUGAGGUAUAUUAAGAUACCAAUUUUUCUUACUGGACCGAGGGAUAUUUUUGUUGCUAAAUUUCAACCCAAGAUCACUGCAUUGGGAUGAUCUUAGAUACCCGACCUCAAGCACCGGUUUUUCAUCACUAAGUUAGACAGUGAUUUAAUAAAUGAGGAUGAUUUGCAUCACUACUAUGUAGAAAUCAUUAUGGUGCAAUCAAAUAUGGUGAUCUCGUCGCAUCCAUCCACAUUAUCUUUAAUUUUGAGAUGAUCAUCUCAUACCAAAAGCCCCAUAAAGAACGAUCAAUCUUAAUCUUGAAAAUUUUAUAAUUCAGAUUCGAUUGGGCCUGUGUGCAUCUCUUGUUUAUUAGUAGCCCGAGACGAAAUUUUNNNNNNNNNNNNNNNNNNNNGGCCGGGCCGGCCCGGCACGGCCCGUUGCCCAACUCUAUGUGCAUCUCUUGUUUAUUAGUAGCCCGAGACGAAAUUUUGGUUGAAUUCACUCGUGGUUUCUAUUUUCGUGACUCUAAUAUCAAUGUUACGGAAUCUGGUUGAAAUUGGUUUAUUGACAAGGAGUUCGUUAUUAGUCCGCCAAGUAUACGAUGGACAUGCAUUUUAUCAGAUACGGGGCAAGUGUCAUCACCUCCAUAGAAGGAAGUGAACCUCCUUGUCGAUCUCCACUUUUCUUUACCUCUUACAUUCUUUUGCAAAGAUAUUUGACAUCAUCACAUAGUUCCUAGGUUAUUGUAACAACCUGAGAUCUCAUCCAAAAUGGCUAGCCGAAAGAUAUGUUUUUGGGCUUCUUAGUUCCAUAUAAGUACUCAAGAUCUUCUUAAUAAAUAAUUGAUAUGGAACUAAAUACAUACCUGCACAAAUUCUCACAGUCAUCUUCAUCUAUCUUCAACAGGCUUUCUCCAACUUCUUUACCCAUCUUGAGGUCCCUUUUUUUUUCCCACAUCUUAGGUGUCUGCCAAUGCCAACACUUGCUUCUAGUAGCAUGUUGUCUGCGAGAUCCUAAGCUUCUUUCAAUUGGCCUGCACGGCCAAGGAGAUCAACCAUGAAAACUUAGUGAUUCAUUUUCGAUUUGUUUUUUAAUUUUCAUUAUGCUCAAAGUCGUCCAUAGUAUCUUAUUCUUUGGCACGGUCUGAUCAAAUACUUUUCUUGCUACUAGUAAAUCCCAUUGUUUAAACAAGAACAUCCAUUUGUAAUCAACAAAGCCUAGAUCUGGGUUCCUUCACAAACUUCUCCAAGACCACUGCAUGCUUUCAGUGUCAGAACUAAAUACUUUCUCAUACAUAAUCUUAUGUGUUCAUUGCCCAACAUGAAGAUUAGAACUAAAACCCAUCUUGUCGACACUUUCAGCAUCAAAUCCUUCGAACAACUCCUGAGGAGCUUCUGCGAUCCUUUGCAGCUCCGUUUUGCUCGGUAUGAAACUCCCCACUUGGGCUAUCAGAGAAUUGGAAAAUCGAAUCAUGCCGGCGUUGAGAAACUGCACCAAUAUGGAAGAAUUGAAGCAACUCCACGCUCACAUUCUGGUCUUUUCCCUUUCUCAAAGCAACUUCCUUGGAACUCAAAUCAUAAAUAUUUGCAAUAGCAAUCGAAGGGUAGACUAUGCUGCUCUAGUCUUCAACCAUGUGGAGGAACCAAAUCUGUUCCUCUACAAUGCCAUGAUCAAAGCGUGCACCCAAAACCAGCAUUGCUCUGAAGCAAUCAGCCUCUACAAACAGAUGUUGAAUCGCCGACACGCCCAAAAUUCAGUUCUUGCUGAUAGAUUUACCUAUCCAUUUGUACUGAAAGCUUGUGCCGGUCUACUUCUCCUUGUUCUUGGCAAGCUGGUUCAUGUCCAUAUAUUUAGAUCCGGGCUGACCUCUAACUCUAUAAUUCAGAAUUCGCUGAUGGAGAUGUACGCAAAAUGUGAUGAUUUAGUCGAUGCACGCAGAGUGUUUGAUGAAAUGGAGGACAGAGAUGCGGUCUCAUGGAAUACACUCAUCUCGGCGCAUGCUAGGCUGGGGCAAAUGAGGAAAGCUAGAGCUUUAUUUAACUCGAUGCCUAGUAGAACAGUGGUUUCUUGGACUGCAUUGAUCUCUGGGUACACCAUGGCUGCUCAGUUCUUUGAUGCGGUGGAGGUAUUUCAUCGCAUGCAAUUGGAAGGCUUCGAGCCUGAUGAUAUUAGUAUUGUAUCAGUUUUGCCUGCUUGUGCUCAGCUAGGGGCUCUGGAGCUGGGCAGAUGGAUCCACGCCUGCUGUGAUAAGCAUGAACUGCUUCAAAAGAGCUUCAUUUGUAAUGCUCUUAUAGAAAUGUAUGCCAAAUGUGGGAGCAUCGAUCAGGCUCUUCGAUUGUUUGAGGAAAUGAAAGACAGGGAUGUGAUCUCAUGGAGCACGAUGAUCGGAGGUCUCGCAUUGCACGGGCGAGCUCACAAAGCAAUCGAACUGUUUGUGGAAAUGGAGAAAGAUGAAACAGUGAGGCCAAAUGGCAUUACAUUUAUUGGUCUCCUAUCUGCUUGUUCUCAUGCUGGUUUGUUGGAUGAGGGGUUCAGGUACUUUGAUUCGAUGAAAGAGGUCUAUGGUAUUGAUCCUGGUGUCGAGCAUUAUGGGUGCAUGGUGGAUCUUCUCGGUCGUUCAGGCUGCAUUGAUCGUGCAGUAGAAUUUAUCGAGAGCAUGCCUGUUCUACCGGAUGCGGCUGUCUGGGGGUCUUUGCUCAGUGCUUGCAGAACUCAUGGUAAUAUUGGGACAGCUGUGAAGGCAAUGGAAUGGCUCGUUGAGCUCGAGCCAGACGACAUUGGGAACUAUGUCAUGCUUUCGAAUAUAUAUGCAGCAGCCGGGAGAUGGGAUGGUGUUGCAAAGAUGAGGAGAGUGAUCAGGAGUAAGAGCUUGAAGAAGACACCAGGGUGCAGCUUGAUAGAGGUGAACAAUGUGGUUCAGGAGUUUGUAGCUGGAGAUGAUUCGAACCUGCAGUUUGGUGAGAUAUCAGGGAUGCUAUACUUGUUGGCCUCCCAGCUUGGCCAUUAUGGAUAUCAGAGAACAAUGGAAUCUAAAGAAUAAGCAAAGCUUACAGAUUCAUCUCACAAGCUCGGCAACGAUAUUUGUUUUGCUCAGUAAAUAACGCAAAGCUCGAAGACGAGACAGAAGAGGUAAAAGAAAUUCCUCAAACAAGUGACUACACUUAAACUGCAUCUCACUAUACUUUUGCUUGCAUGUAUGUCAUUGGCAAAACAAAAUUGCAGUAGUCAAUUGAUACCAUGAUGCUUUAUGAAGAUUUUUUCUAUAGAAGAAACCAUGAUACGCCAUAUUGAUCCGAACCGGACGGUACGCCGUAUCAUAUCUAUUUGGUACCGAUACCCUGGUACAUAUGGUAUACCGAUAUUCGGUACGCUAAAAAAAAUUUCGUACCAUACCGUACUGAUACUAUGCUAGUAUGGCACCAGUAUGAAUCCGGUACCGAGACAACGAACCUCAGAAGAAACGAUAUUAAACUGACCUUAAAUGCUGAGAAAAAUAUUUGAUGAGAAAGCAUAAUUUCUAAAAGUUACGUGUCAUGAUUUUUGUCCUGGAUGCAGCAGAUCUUGAUAGCAAACCUUACCUAGACCUACCUGGUGGCUAAACUAAUCCACAAUGGAUUCAGUGAUCCUUCUUGAUCAUUAACAUGCCAUGGUUUUUAGUGUUUUCCAGCAACAAGUAGAAGGUGGCCCUGGUGAAAUCAUCCAACAUACUUUUUACUUAUUGUUGAUCAUAAUGAUGGAUGAAAACAAAAAAUAAAUGCUCUAAUUUGGUUGAACCUUUCACAUUAGUUAUUCUGAAUGCUUGAUUUGCACUCGGGGAACACAUGGACUGUGCACUGAACCCAUAGCGAGAAUCGCUUUUAGGUUAAAAACAUGACCUGUGAGUUCUUUAUCAUUGUUCAUCACAGUAAUGGAUCAAAAUAAAAAAAACAUAAACACUCUAAUGGUUGAAGUUUUUGCAUUAGUUACUGACAAUGAAGCAUCAUGCGAAACUUAUGGCUAUGCGCUGAACAACACAGUAAAGAUCACUUUGAAGUUAAAAUCCUAAAGAAAAAUGUCUUUGCAAUUACAGAUAAAUACAAAAUAUACAAUGUCUGCAAAUAUACUAACAGAUUCAUCUUACAUACAACUUAUACAGUGACAGAAUUCCAGGAUCAGCGGAUCUUCAGAAAGCUGGAUCCAAUCUUAUGGCUAGGAUAGAGCCAAUGCUUCGUUUCAGCUGGAGUAGGGGGAUGAAGAGGAGAAUGAACUGUACUUGUUUGAUUUUGAAAAUGAUGAAAUGGCCAGGUACUAAGUUACAUCUUUGACAGAGUAGCCUGCAUGCUUGAAACCAGGAGCAUACUAUUGAAGAAACCCUUCAAUUGAAGCUGGAGAAUAUCCUUCCGUAAAAAGAAUGCAAUGUUGAAGCUUCAUCAAUCUCCAACACAAGAUAAACUGAAGUGUGGAAAGCAACUGAUGGAAGCAUUCAAUUUCAUGAUCGGUGCUGCCUCAUGUUGUCAGGCAUUGCCAGCAGGACUGAUGGUAAGCUUCAAAUUUUUUGAAGGCUGGACCACAAUAAGCUAAAUGCAGAGAUCCAAAGGGCAUGCCAAAGUCCAAAGAUAAAAAACACCAGAAUACAGCUUGAUUUAGCUGAACAGUUAGCUGAAGACCUGUUGGCUGUACAACUUACUUUCUAAACAAACAACUCAUAUUCUCAAGAAUCUGUGAUGAUAGAACUCAUCAAAUGACAGGCGUUUCACUGCAAAGGAUAGAGAACUUCGUCAGCAACACAUGAUACACUAGAUGAAAAAUUGAGGUUAAAAGUACACACCUGGGUUUUUGCACAAAAGCCUAGCACACAUAUCAAUAGAGUCAAGAUGCAAACUGGGGAGGAUGAGCUGUGAAAAUGGCAAGGACGUACUACUCUUUAUGCUUUUUAGAAGCUGCAGAAGAAACCAACAUUAAGCCAGAACAAAGGCAAAAAGGAAGGUUACAAUAAUGAUGCAAUAAUCUUAUUUGUAAAUAGAUUAGCCACCUGAACAUUGUUACUGCCACGAAAAGGUGGAUACCCAUUCAGAAGCUCAAAGAAAAUUGCACCAAUGCUCCACAUAUCUACCUGGUUAGAGAAAGCAUUUCAAUUUGCUGUCAUUUGAGUAGGAGGAGAGAGCGACUUUUACCUUGUCGUCAUACUGUUGAAAUUCCAUAACCUCUGGAGCCAUGUAGAAAGGUGUUCCACAAACUGAGUCUGCAAACUCGCCAGGAUGAACAGCUCUAUUUGAAAGCAGUAGGAGAACAUGUAAGAAUUCCUUCUGAAGAUAAACAAUUAGUUGUACAAAAUACUCUGAAUUCUGAUAUGGAAUACUCCAGUAAUUUGCUACCGAUACCUUGAUAGACCAAAAUCAGCUAUCUUUAGCACAGCAUCACUGCUGGGAGUAGAAAGUAGAAUAUUCUGCUCCACUAACAGCAAAUGUCAAUGAAUUAUGAAGAGCAUGAAUUCUAUAAGUAGAAUUAGAUGGUUAACAUUGUUCUGUACCUUCGGUUUCAAGUCCCGAUGGAUUAUGUGGUGAGCAUGCAUUACCUCCAAACCUGCUCCUGCAAUAUGAAGAUAAAUGAACUAUUGUAUCAUAUCCACAAUAUUAGUGGGACAAAAAUACUUGCUUGAUACUUAUCAGUUCAUUGAUGAUACAAAUACCUAGCUGCUUCAUGAAUUUUCUGACAGUAUUUUCAUGCACCCUCCCUUUUUGCUGAAUGUAAGUGGCUAAGUUUCCUCCGGAACAGAACUCCAAAACAAGGAAUAUGCAUCCAUCAACCUGAAAUGGGAAAAUAUCGAGAAGCAAAAGAGUGAAAACGUAAAACUUCUAUUAAUGUUCAUCACAGGGACCAUGAUGCAUAACUCACAAUAAUGGAACUUAUUUUGAAUUCUACUUUGGAAGUUUUGAACAUGGCUGGUGUUUGUGAUAAAAAAAGCCCCAAAUUAUUUGGCCUUAUUGAUGUAAAAAGGCACCCAUGUAGAUAUACACAUAAUACAAUCCUCAGUAGGGAGUUGAAAACCCUUCUUUUCCACUGAAUCUUCAGGUGAAACAGCUAGCUUUAAGAAAAAUAAGGUGAUCUACAUCAAUUCUAUAAGUUUCUUGGAGUUUUAAAUGUGUUCAGCUGUUGCAUUUGAUCUUAUUUUCUUUCAUUUUGCUCUUUUAAUGGAUGAAGAAACUCAUGAUUGGCCUUCCUUCCAACUUCCGUCAUAAAAAUUUUGAUAGAGCCAUGAUGGAACACAAAAUAGCCAAGGCUCCACCAUCAGAAUUUCUGGUAAAAACUCCGCAAUGAAGCACCAGUCCUAGUUAAAAGGUAUUGCCCUCCAACAACAGGUUAAGAAAAAAUUUGCAAAAUUUUCGUUACUUGGCAAGUUCAAAAUUUCCUAUUCUGAACAGCAAGCCCUGGAUAUAAAGCUCAAAGUUACUGAUCCUCCUCCAAUAAAUUGCCCCCAAACCCAAAAUAUUCCCAUGAAGCAUGUGAUCAGAAGCUAAUGAAGUCUAUUACUCUAGAUAUUAAAAGCCCUAAAGUUCGAGCAAACAACUCCUCAAAAGCUCCAACUAUUUGAUUUCCGAACUAAGAAUUCAAUCCAAAUACCAAAACCUGGUUCCGAAACCCCAACUAGCGGCUAUCCAAAAGAGCUAAUGGAACCAAUUUCUCGAUAGAAUAAACAACCAAAAACUUUCAAACUGGGAAAUCAAUUGAAAGCUCAAAUCUUUACAUUUCUGAACUAUUUAAUUCAGUCUAAACAUCAAAUCUCUGAUUCAUAACCCGCAAGAAGCCUCAAUUUUAAGCUCUUUCCCCUCAAUCAAAAGCUUUAAAACACAAGUUUAACGUCCAAAUGAAAUAAAAAUGAGAGAAAAAAAAAAGAGAAAUGAAGUGGAAAGGGAAGGAAGGGAACCUGGAAGACAUCAAGGAGGCGGAUGAUGUUGGGAUGGCAGACGCUUGCCAAGAAGUUGAUCUCGCAAUCGAGGCAUUCCCUCAGGGUCCUGGUGAGCCCCGAGAGGCGGACCUGCUUCAAGACGACGUCCUGGCCGCUCGAUCGGUGGACCGCCCUCCACACGAUCGAGAACGGCCCUUCCCCUCCCAGCCUCCCCCUCACCUCGUACUCUCCGUCGCCGGCGAUGGACGGCGGUGGCCGCUCCUCCGUCAUCCGUCCCUCGCUCUCUCUCAUCCUGGUCCCCUCUCCGCACUACAAGCCAUCACUGUUCUCACGAGCCAACCGACAAGCACGAUCUCAAGCGUUUUGCGAGUCCCCGGACAGCUACCCAAAUGGAAGUAGACCCGCUUUUCCCCAAACCAGCGCCAAAUAAACCGUCGGCUGUGAUUCAGGGUUGACAAUUAUAGCAACCGGGCCAAGCCGGAUGGACGGUAGAUCAAAAAUUUAUCAAUUUAAAUUUAAUUAAUUUAUUAAAUAGAUAAAAUUUUAGAUUUGAAUGUGAUAAUUUUAUUAAAUAGAUGAUGUAAUCAAAUCUAUAAUAAGUAAAAAUAAGUGAAAUGGGGUAAAUAGCGAAGCACCGCCUUUUAUACUUAAAAAUGGAAGUAGUUGUAUUUUUGAUGCAAAAGGAGGAUACAUCUUUCUUCGCAUGAAUCCAUCAUUAGAUCACCAUUGCACAGAUCUCAAAGCAACUCGUACUAUCAUCAUCCGCCUCCGCAAAUCCCAAAGUGACUGAUGGAUGAUUCAACGGUGGAUUGGUGCGAAUAUCAAUGAAUAUUUUUAUCCAAAGAUGCAACCCCACUCUACUGAAAUGGGCCAGAGUUCCGUUGGGUCAACUGUCAAAUUGCGUUUUCUAGGCCCAAAGCCAGUUCUGCUCCCCAAAAUUUAAUUAAAGAUUUAUCAUAUUUUUCCUAGGGCUCGAUAUACUUUUUUUUUUUCCCGUUAUUAUCUUCUGUUCUUAAAAUCUUCCUAUUAUGAAGGGUUGAAAAGAAAAAGGAGGGGGUCAAAUUUUAGUUGUCAAGUAGUCAAGUAGAAUUAUAUCCUUGAUUUUCUUAAUUUCUCUGCAUACUGAUAAGUAGAAGGAAAAUCACACAGAAAAAAGAGGGAAUGGGUUGGUGCUCUCACAAAAAUCAUGACUUAAAUAUGUUUGAGAUUAAUUGGAUCAACAUGAGAUUGCAUACUCCAUGGAAAAGGUGUUUUUCUUCCCUAAUUUUCAUAUGAUUCUGAUUUGCUCCUCAACUUUAUGGCUGAAUCCUUUUUUUCACUAUCUCAACAAAAUGGGCUGGCACUCACUAACUUUUCAAAAAGAAACAAAUCAUAAACACCAUAACAACAUGUCAAGGAUUAUAGUGCAGGAAGAUCAGUUUAAUGGUCUAAAUUAGGUUUUCACAAUGAGGGAAAUAACAAAAACAUGCAUAUUUAUAUACAAACACACGUACACUCAACACACACUAAUCAGAAAAUCAAAGCAAUUAUUUUUUUAUGUCUUCAAAAAAAGCCCCUAGGCAAGAUGGCUUCCCUCCAUUUUCUUAAAAAUGAAUUGCAAGAUAGUUAACCUAGGGUGUGUCUUGCAAUCAAAAUAUUUUUCUUUUCGUGGCAUACUAUUGGGCUUGCAAAGAACGGAUAUGUUUCUAGGGCAUUGGACGAAGCCCCAGUUGAUCCUUCUAAAAGCCUUCAUGCAAGCAAUGGUUCAUUCAGAUGAUUGCCUCGGAAAAAUCUUUGAUAGCUCGAAAAAUCUAUGGUUCUUAUCGUGCAAUUCUUGCAUCUCCUAACGUAAUAUUUUUUACUUAGGAGCCACCAUCCUCUUAUUUCCUUGUGAUAUAUUUUGAUGGUAGGAUUCAAGAUGAAGGUGGCCAUGGGCGAGCCGGCUUUGUUAUCUAGAGCCAUAGUUGCAUGUUUUUUGGCUGCUGGGGGUACGUAGCUUCUUGACAUUUCAGCACCGAUACAAAGUUGCAUGGAGCAUAGGAGGGGUUGACUUAUCCUAUCAGAGUUUUAGGGCAUGCACAUCACUUUAGAAGUGAUUUCAAAACAAUGAUAAGCUGGUGUCCAUCAGGUGGCUGAUGUAGGAGGCACUCAACCUUAGUACAGGACAUCCAGCUAAAGGGAGCCACUUUUGUAUAGUCUGAAGCAUCUCAUGUGUACAAGGAAGCCGGUAGCAUGGUUAAUUGGGUUGCUUCUUACAUGGUCCAUCACUCUAGUGCAGUUUUUUUGGGACUCCAUGUUUAUUCUUCCUUCCCAAUUUCGAGAUCUUUUGUAUAUACCAACUCUCAAGGUUGGAUUUACACUAGAGCUAUACAGCUCAUUCACUUCAUCUUAAAAAAGAAAAAAAUCCCUUUCUUGAUACAUGCUUGAAGAGUAGAAGUCAACUUUCUAUCACUUUAAUUUCUAAAACACCUGAUGCCUUGGAGUCUUGCCAUUAUUUUUUUAUUUUUGAUAAGGCGAACAGAUCAUACAUGCCUAAUAUGAAUAUGCCCAAUAAAAUUAGAAAACAAAAUACCGUUCAAAUAAGUAUAAACAGCUAGAGUGUUGGUCCAAAGGACUUUCCUUAUAGUGCUCCCCAACAAACGAGUCUUGCCAUUAUUAACCAAGUACUCUUUGAAACACUAUGCGCUCUUUUCGAGCCCGUUGAUUUUCGGGGGUGGAGUUUUCUAGAUAAUAUCCUCAUAGCUCAAGGAAUAAUGCAUGAAUUGGAGAGAGCGCAGCUGCUCAAAAGUUUGACAGCAAUUAAACUUGAUACGAAAAGAGCAUAUGAUCGCAUGAGAUGGGACUUCCAGGUCCGUGGGCUUCUUGUCUUGGACAAGGCUGUCCUCUCUCGCCGUAUCUGUUCAUAUUUUGUGCUAACUUGGAGUCUCCGUUGCUAAAUCAGGCUAUUGAAUAGACCAAAGUUACAGGGUUAUCAACUCACUCCUCUGACGCCUCAAAUUUCCCAUCAAUAUUUUGUCGAUGACUGUUUGCUGUUGUUUGCAAAGGCAAAGAUAGUACAUGCUGGAGAUAGUACUAAAUCUGCUAGUACUUGGCAGCACUUGGAGUUAAUCCAAUCUCUAGUUAAAGCCUUAAUUCUUCUAACUAUAAUUUUUUCUCUGAGAAAAUUGCCACUAAGCUUAUAGGAUGGAAACGGAGAUCACCAUGACAGGCUUCAUUAAUUGUUCUAACCUAUUCUGUUCUUAGUUCUUGGGAAAAUGCAUCGCAUGGCUUGGGAGGUUGUUUAUUUUAGAGCCUAACAAUCUCUCAUCCUUGACAUGAGGACUAAAUAUAGGGUUCUCAUUGUCGAAUAUACCUUAAAAGCUCCCAGAUAUUACUCAGCCAUUUGGAGAUAAUUAUGCAAGCAUACCGAUGUGAUGAGAACUUAUUUACAAUGGAUGAUUGGAGAUGGCUCAAACAUCGAUGUGUGGAACAACCCUUGGUGAUUCACCUCGUCAACAUUUUCUCAUUUUACUGCUUUAUUUGAUGCUAAUUAAUUACUGAACUGUAAGAUUCCUGAGCUACUCAUUAGUGAAAAGAAUGUAAGAUUUAGAGACUCCAUUACUUUUUAUCCAGCAAUUGGUGCAACAAAUCAAUUCUAUUCCUAUACCUUGAGGAAUUGAAAAAGAUAGACUGUUUUGGGAGCCCCAAGAACGUUGAGGGCAAAUUUGGUGCAUGGUAGUGCUUGUGAUAGAAAUAAUUUGACUGUUACCAGGACGUAGGAUAGAUUUGGAAACUUAAGAUUCAGCCAAGAGUUGCUCUAUUUUGGUGGAAGCUUGGAUGGGUUAAAUUAUCAUGUGUGUGUACAUUCUGGCUUCAUGUAAUGAAUGUGCUCAAGUGGACAUGCAACUUGGAGUGCAUCUUGGAUCCCUUGAAGAGCCAAGCUGCAUGCCAAGGAAUACACCUCCAACUUGAACACCAAGUCAUCUUACUUGGUCUAGGGAAACCUGGGUUUCUCCUGCCAAGUGCAUUGUUCUCCUGCAGAUGAUUCAAUUCACUUAGGAACCUCCAUCUCUCGGUUCCAUUAACAUAAAUUUCAAUGGAUCGGAUAGAGGAGGGAUUAGCAUUGAUGGUGUGGCUAUGUUAUUACGGAUUAUCGAGGAGCGUUAGUAGUAGUUGGUCUUGUGCUCUUGUUUCUCACCAAUUAGCCUAUAGUGGAACUUAAGAGCUGCAUAGGAGGAGAUGGUAUAUAUUACUGAGAAAUUGAAUAAAGCUCAGAAGAUUUGCCUUGAAGGAGAUUCAAAAACAGUAAUUAAUAGUAAGUAUCCAAUGCCUUAUUUAGAUGUUCAUCCUACGAUCAUCGAUAUCUGGAGGAUGUCCACGAAGCUGGAAGCUUUACAAGAAAAGCAUGCUUUUCCUCAAGCUAAUUCUACUAGUAAUUGGAUCGCCACUCAUAUUGCCAACAAUUCGAGAGGAUAUACUAAUUCUCGUGCAGUGUAACACAUCUGUCUUACAAAAAAAAAAAGGGAGCUAGAGGGGCGGGUUGGUCAAUUUUGUUUAAAAGAAAUCAAAGUAAAAGAAGAAUUUAAUGCAAACAUUGUCCUCAUCACAAUGAAGUGUUUCCAUGCAAUAAGAAGAAGACAUCGCAAUCAACUGCCGCGUUGCUGAAGGCAUCCAUUUUGGACGUGUGUGCGCGAGCUUUGAUAAAUUAUUUACGCAAUAUAAUACAUAUGACAAGAAUUUCAAGCCUCAGCUCUAAGUUUCAAUGCAAAUCAUUGGCACAUCAUAUUCUUCCUAAUCUCCUUUUUCGCAUUCAGUUUUGCCACAAAAAAAUAAAAUAAAAUGGAGAGAGAUUUUCUUAGCAAAGAGAUAUAUUCAACAACUCUUGGGGCCCUCCUUAUCUUUUUACCGUGCAUGCAUGCAUGCAUGAUUGAAGAGACAUGAUAAUUGCAAAUCAGUCCCUUGUAGGGCCUUCUGCUCUGAAAAACUGAAGUGAUUCUUUUUUUCCACAGGUCAAGAUCUAACAAUGCCCCACUUGCCGGAUUUGCGCCUUUUAGGCCCCGCUGAAUGCAGACUCCUAGACGCCGCAUCCGGGCCCACAUGCAUGUGACGCCGGAGCUCGGUUAACAUUAUUGCCUAGAAGUCUAGAAUCGAAGGCACAUCCUAAUUAUGGGAUAUAGCAGCCAAGAGUUUAUGAAAUAAACGUGUCUUCAGGUUCUCAAAUUCUUAUUCACUAACAACAACCUUACUGCCAUCUUGUUCAGCAGUGUAACCAUAUAAAGUUAGGGGAAGAGUAAAUAACUCAACAGUUUGGAAUACAGGGAUUUUUUUAUGGGUCCCUUGCAGAUAAGCAGACAAACAUAUAAUUUAUCAGCCAGAGGAGCAAUGUGAAAGCACCAUAGCUUGAGUCUUUUUUUUUCUUUUGUAAAUUUUGGUAUCUUUUGUGAAUGAGCUACUAAACCAUUUGCCUUUUUGUGAGCAUUCAUUUAGAAAUUUCUCUAAAANNNNNNNNNNNNNNNNNNNNNNNNNNNNNNNNNNNNNNNNNNNNNNNNNNNNNNNNNNNNNNNNNNUCAUCAGUUCUUGGUAGUGGAAUUUCUAGAAUUGAGGACAAGGUGACAAUUGGGUCAUUGACAUGGAAAAACUUAAGAUUAAUGAAAAUCCAUAUGUUUGGAUUUUGAAUAUGCUUAACUGCGACAAGGAAUGGUUUCAUUGUAUCGGUGUUUCACUAUAUUAUCUGCCAUUUGCUAUGAUAAGGAAUAAUAAUGGCCCUUGUAGCAAUUAGUAUUUUAUUCUAACAAAAAAAAUAUUUUGAAGAUUAGACUCGGAAUUUUGGCAAACUGCUUCUCGUGACUAGUACAUAUGGGAACUACAAUCGCUACAACAAAAAUGAUAACUAGUAGUAUUUUCAAGUACCACUAUAAACAAAUAGGAAUGUUGCAAAUGUUCCUUCUAGAUAUUUUUAUGGCAUUUUCUUAUGUACCAUCUUAGAAAUUAUAAGUACCAGCAAAAAAUUCUCAAAAUAAAUUUUAUAAUCUAAAAUUCAAAAAAAGAGAGGAUUUUCGAACUAAUAAUCCCUCUGAGCUCUUAACCACCGGCCACAACUUAUAUUGUUCUUACACAGGAAUGGUUUAGUGAAAGAUCAUUUAGUAAAUAAAAUAGAUAAAAAUAAAAAAUAAUAUUAGGUAAAUAAAAAUUAAAAUAAAAAAUAAUAAUAGCUAAAAAUUGGAGGUGGAUAAGGAUAUCAAAGAUAAAAUUAGGAAUAGAAGGAAAAUAAACUUGUUUGAGAGAAGUUGGCUUAGAUUGAGAGAAAGGAAUUCAGACAUUAUGAAGAUAUAGAAGUUUGAAUAAAAUUAGUAUUUUACAUGCAUUUUUUAAUUAUCGAUAUUAAUGAUUGUUAUAUAAUAAAAUUUAUUUGUAAAUCAAAUAAUAUUUCAUUCUGGGACAAAUUUGACAGGCUUAAAGGGCCCCUCCAAUACUUUUUUACGGAGUAGAUGAGUAAAGGUAAGUUUAGGUACUUUCUAGAAAACAAAAAUAUUUUUAUAUAGCCAAUGAUUUGGAUAAUACUGCCAGUGUAGGAAUUAACAUGUUCAUGUUGCAACCUAUCAAGGUCAUUAUGUGAUAUGGAUUCACAUCAAAAGAUGAGUAGUGGUAUCAAAUGCCUGAACAUAACUUUUCUUUUCUUUUUCUUUUUUCUAGGAAACUCGAUCAAAAGAUCUAGGGAACUUUCAUUAAGGGAUUGAAAGAUAUAGUCUUAGAUUUACAUGAACAAAUCAUGUUUGGCUUCAAUUAAACAUGACAUACAAAAAAAUGGAUAUUGUAUACAUCGUUAUUUAUUAUUAUUAAUUCAUGAAUAAUCAAUAUAGUUUAUUGAAAGUGUAUAUUUUAGUUAUGAGAGUGAUGAUUAGUUUAAGUGAUAAAAUGACUGAAGAUUGGGUACUAGUGAUUUGGGUUGGAGUCCCACUUUCAACAUAAUUUAUAAUCUUAAUAAAUUUUCAUGGCCUUGCCCAUGAUCACAGAUAAGCCCACCGGAUUACACCAAGGUGGAAGUAGUUUUAGUCCUUAAAACCAAUUAAUAUAAACACAUGAAGUGUCGGGGGAAUAAUUAAAAGCAUAUGGAAAGAUCCGCCGGCAUUAAUUCCGCUACAAGCGAAAUGAUUGAACCCAUCGUACAAAACUGCCCCCACUCAAAUGAACGUGAUUAGACGCUAUUAACUUAUAAUAUUAGCCGUACGAAAUAAAUGUGCGUGUCAUAUGCGCGUGUGUGUAUGAAAGAGAUAAAGCAAGCCGAGAGAAGAAAUUAUACCCUUGGCCAGAAGCACAACUGGCAGCCCCGUGGACCACACCAAUCAUAAUUUUUAUUUUUGUGAACUUACAUUUUAUCGUACAGCUUGGAUUAUUCCAAUAACGCAUCAUUGAUAUAAUGCACUUGAUCUAGGGUAUAUUUUCUCGAGCGAGAGCAAGAGGUAAACAGAAAAAUUAUAUCCUACGUCCAAUCAGUAUUUUGGCCAUGUGUAUCAGCUCAGCAAACAAAAAAAAAAAAAAAGACUUUCCAAACGAAUACUCUGCCCCUCCUCUGAAACCCUAGCCUAGCACUCUUCCUCCCCUCUCUACUUUCUUCUUUUGCCUUGCCUUCCACCUCUAGCCAUGUAGCUUCCGCAUCUUGGUAGCCCAAUGAGAGCCGCAGUAAGGAUAAGCUCCGAGCACUCUGCAUGCUCUUAUGUAGUUCGUCAAUGAUGGAAUCAUCGAUCAAAUAUUGUCAAAGCUUCGAAAGAAGCAAUCUAGUAGGAGCCGCACUGAGGAUGAGGAGCUUUGAGCUGUCCAUAAACCCUUAUCCAAGCCUAGCAUUGGGAGAGACUGGAGGCCAUGAAAGAAGAGGAAGAGGGCUAGAAAGUGGAAGCCACAUUUUUUUCCCCUCUUUGAGUUCAUCAUGUUCAUGUGAUGGCCUAUUAUUGACUUGGUGCACGCUAAGUUGGGACAUCGGAUGUAGGGUAUAAUUGUGAUAUACAUGUGAUAUGGGAUAUAAUUGUGAUAUCAAUGUGAUACAGGGUAUAAUUGUGUGUGUGUAUGUGUGUGUGUGUGUGUGUGUGUGAGAGAGAGAGAGAGAGAGAGAGAGAGAGAGAGAGAGAGAGAGAGAGAGAGAGAGAGAGAGANNNNNNNNNNNNNNNNNNNNUGUGUGUGUGUGUGUGUGUGUGUGUGUGUGUGUGUGUGAGAGAGAGAGAGAGAGAGAGAGAGAGAGAGAGAGCGCUUAGUCAAGAAGUAGUGGUCCCGAGUGGGAAAAAAAAAGUUCAUGUCACGUUUUCAAGCUGGCAUGCACUCUCCGGGGCGAAAACGACAGUGUCCAAGUUUUCCUUUUGGGUCAGCAAGGAAGUCCAGAAACUCGUAACCAGCAGCCUUGCAUGGAUAAACUAAGGUCCAUGUCUUAUUUUUCAUUUGAAUCACAGUUGCCAAGUCCAGUAACGCGGCACCUACUACCUAGUCUCUUCGCCUAUAUAAAGGAAGGUUGAGAGCCUGGGUGUUCUCAGACAAGGGAAGCUCAACUGGGUCGAGACACGUACGUUAGACUGAUGGAUAGGAGAGGAAGGGAGGAGGCCUCCAUGGCCUGCCUUGUUUCCACUCUCAUGGUGCUCUUUGUUUCUCUGAGCUUGCCUCUUCAGACACAAGCAAAUUAUCCUUACCCAUACAAGUCACCACCACCACCACCUCUCCACCACCACAAACCACCAACACUACCACCUCCUCCUGUUUACCACUACAAAUCACCACCUCCCCCUCCCCAUGUCUACAAGUAUAAAUCUCCACCACCACCUCCUUACCACCCCAUAUCACCAGCUCCUCCUCAUCAUCAUGCCUACAAGUAUAAAUCUCCACCACCACCUCCUUACCACCCUGCUCCUAUCUACAAGUACAAGUCACCACCUCCCCUCAUCAUGCUUACAAAUAUAAAUCUCCACCACCCCCUCUUCACCACCCUGCUCCUGUCUACAAGUACAAGUCACCACCUCCUCCUCACCAUGUCUACAAGUACAAAUCUCCACCACCCCCUCGCCAUUACAAGGCACCUUGUCCUCCUUCCCCUGUCUACAAAUAUAAAUCACCACCACCCCCUCCCUACCAUCACAUAUCACCAACCCUACCUCCCUACCACGACAAGUCACCACCACCACCCCCUCCUGUUUACAAGUAUAAAUCACCACCGCCACCUCCCUAUCACUACAAGUCACCACCACCUCCCCCUCCAGUCUACAAGUAUAAGUCUCCUCCACCACCUCCACAUGUUUAUCACUACACUUCACCUCCUCCUCCUCCCUAUCACUAUUAAGCGGCAGAACACCGUCGAAACCAAAAGGGUUAGUUGCUUGUAUUUUCUGAGCUCAGAAUAUGGUUAAAAAUGAAGUUACUUGGAGUAAUAACAAACGGAUGUUUCUUGUUCUUUCUUUCUUUGUUUUCUUUCUCUUUUUUUUUUAAGAGAGCUAAUUAAUUAAGCCGAAGCCAAAUGGAAAACACAUGGGCAAUUUUAAAACAGCACCAUUGGAACAUAACCCCCCUCUCGUUUUUUAUUAUUUUGC